UGGGGAAUAUUGCGCAAUGGGGGGAACCCUGACGCAGCCAUGCCGCGUGAAUGAAGAAGGCCUUCGGGUUGUAAAGUUCUUUCGGUAUUGAGGAAGGGGUGUGUGCUAAUAGUACACAUCAUUGACGUUAAAUACAGAGGAAGCACCGGCUAACUCCGUGCCAGCAGCCGCGGUAAUACGGAGGGUGCGAGCGUUAAUCGGAAUAACUGGGCGUAAAGGGCACGCAGGCGGUUAUUUAAGUGAGGUGUGAAAGCCCUGGGCUUAACCUAGGAAUUGCAUUUCAGACUGGGUAACUAGAGUACUUUAGGGAGGGGUAGAAUUCCACGUGUAGCGGUGAAAUGCGUAGAGAUGUGGAGGAAUACCGAAGGCGAAGGCAGCCCCUUGGGAAUGUACUGACGCUCAUGUGCGAAAGCGUGGGGAGCAAACAGGAUUAGAUACCCUGGUAGUCCACGCUGUAAACGCUGUCGAUUUGGGGGUUGGGGUUUAACUCUGGCGCCCGUAGCUAACGUGAUAAAUCGACCGCCUGGGGAGUACGGCCGCAAGGUUA
This 547-nucleotide ribosomal RNA is filed under the name uncultured bacterium. RNAcentral describes it as "bacterial SSU rRNA". It matches the Rfam family "Bacterial small subunit ribosomal RNA", at positions 355 to 896 of the family's 1533-position model. The record is from RNAcentral.